Molecule: transfer RNA, 72 nt
Filed under: Cavia porcellus (domestic guinea pig)
Lineage: Eukaryota; Metazoa; Chordata; Mammalia; Rodentia; Caviidae
Rfam family: tRNA
About the family: Transfer RNA (tRNA) molecules are approximately 80 nucleotides in length.
Source: Rfam by way of RNAcentral
UUUUGUGGGCUCAGUGACAUAAGUGCCUGCCUGGCAAGCACACGGUCCUGGGUUCAAUUCCCAGUACAAAAA